AACGUAGGACACAAGCGUUAUCCGGAGUUACUGGGCGUAAAGGGCGUUUAGGCGGGUGAUUAAGUUCGCUAUGAAAGCGCCAGGCUAAACCUGGCGAGGCUGGCGGAUACUGGUCAUCUGGAGUGAGGGAGAGGGAAGUAGAAUUCCGCGUGUAGUGGUGAAAUGCGUAGAGAUGCGGAGGAAUACCAGUGGCGAAGGCGACUUCCUGGCCCUCAACUGACGCUGAAGCGCGAAAGCAUGGGGAGCGAACGGG
This 253-nucleotide ribosomal RNA is filed under the name uncultured bacterium. RNAcentral's name for it is "partial 16S ribosomal RNA". It matches the Rfam family "Bacterial small subunit ribosomal RNA", at positions 524 to 776 of the family's 1533-position model. The record is from RNAcentral.